UACGUAGGGAGCAAGCGUUGUCCGGAAUCAUUGGGCGUAAAGCGCGCGUAGGUGGCUUCGUAAGUCCGUUGUGAAAGUCAAAGGCUCAACCUUUGAAAGCCGAUGGAUACUGUGAAGCUAGAGUCCGGAAGGGGCGAGUGGAAUUCCUGGUGUAGCGGUGAAAUGCGCAGAUAUCAGGAGGAACACCAAUGGCGAAGGCAGCUCGCUGGGACGGUACUGACGCUGAGGCGCGAAAGCGUGGGGAGCAAACAGG
Molecule: ribosomal RNA, 253 nt
Filed under: uncultured bacterium
Lineage: Bacteria
Description: partial 16S ribosomal RNA
Rfam family: Bacterial small subunit ribosomal RNA
Source: RNAcentral